CAGCAGCCGCGGUAAUACGUAGGGUGCGAGCGUUAAACGGAAUUACUGGGCGUAAAGCGUGCGCAGGCGGUUAUGUAAGACAGGUGUGAAAUCCCCGGGCUUAACCUGGGAACUGCGCUUGUGACUGCACAGCUAGAGUAUGGCAGAGGGGGGUGGAAUUCCACGUGUAGCAGUGAAAUGCGUAGAGAUGUGGAGGAACACCGAUGGCGAAGGCAGCCCCCUGGGCCAAUACUGACCCUCAUGCACGAAAGCGUGGGGAGCAAACAGGAUUAGAUACCCCAGUAGUCCCUGUCUCUUAUAC
This 301-nucleotide ribosomal RNA is filed under the name uncultured bacterium. Its description in RNAcentral is "partial 16S ribosomal RNA". It matches the Rfam family "Bacterial small subunit ribosomal RNA", at positions 509 to 807 of the family's 1533-position model. The record is from RNAcentral.